AAUGAACGUUGGCGGCAUGGAUUAGGCAUGCAAGUCGCGCGAGAAGUCAAUUUGCUUGCAAAGAGACGGACAGCGGCGAAAGGGAGAGUAACGUGUGGUUACGUGCCUCGAGGACCAGGAUAGCGUUGGGAAACUGGCAGUAAUACUGGAUAAUAUCUGCGGAUCAAAUGGUGUGAUUCCGCCUCGAGAUCGGACCGCAUACUAUUAGCUUGUUGGUGGGGUAAUGGCCCACCAAGGCUGCGAUGGUUACCGGUGUGAGAGCAUGGCCCGGCUCACUGGGACUGAGACACUGCCCAGACACCUACGGGUGGCUGCAGUCGAGAAUCUUCGGCAAUGGACGAAAGUCUGACCGAGCGAUGCCGCGUGCGGGAUGAAGGUCUUCGGAUUGUAAACCGCUGUCAGUUGUUAGGAAAUGCAUGAGGGUUAUCCCUUGUGUUUGACCG
Molecule: ribosomal RNA, 443 nt
Filed under: uncultured bacterium
Lineage: Bacteria
Description: bacterial SSU rRNA
Rfam family: Bacterial small subunit ribosomal RNA
Source: RNAcentral